CCCUCCCACUGUCCCUCCCACUGGCUUGUUCACCUGAGCUGCCUUGACCUCCGAGGGGGGAAAACACAUGAUCCAGAUUCUGGACAUGUCCUGAGCCCUGCUACUGCGGGCUGAGCCACGACAGUUGACGUUCACCCAAACUGCUGCCCCAAGGGAAUGUGACAGAUAGAUGACUGUUGUGCGGGCUGGAUGCACAGUUGCUCCGGGCGUAGCUCACCUCUGCAAUUAAGCAAGAUCCCAGAAUUUGAACCUUGGAAGUGAAAUCUGCUCAAGGCAAAGAUCCAAGUCUUCAUUCUGCUUGAAUGGAAGAAUGAGAUUAAA
Fukomys damarensis (Damara mole-rat) is the source of this 321-nucleotide long non-coding RNA. RefSeq lists it as uncharacterized. The transcript is spliced from 3 exons. Lineage: Eukaryota; Metazoa; Chordata; Mammalia; Rodentia; Bathyergidae. The record is from RefSeq and is a predicted model, not a curated record.